UACGUAGGGUGCGAGCGUUGUCCGGAAUUACUGGGCGUAAAGAGCUCGUAGGUGGUUUGUCGCGUUGUCCGUGAAAACUCACAACUCAAUUGUGGGCGUGCGGGCGAUACGGGCAGACUGGAGUACUGCAGGGGAGACUGGAAUUCCUGGUGUAGCAGUGAAAUGCGUAGAUAUCAGGAGGAAUACCGAUGGCGAAGGCAGGUCUCUGGGCUAACACUGACGCUCAUGCACGAAAGCGUGGGGAGCAAACAGG
RNAcentral lists this ribosomal RNA (253 nucleotides) under uncultured bacterium. Its description in RNAcentral is "partial 16S ribosomal RNA". It matches the Rfam family "Bacterial small subunit ribosomal RNA", at positions 524 to 776 of the family's 1533-position model. The record is from RNAcentral.